UAGGGAAUCUUCGGCAAUGGGGGCAACCCUGACCGAGCAACGCCGCGUGAGUGAAGAAGGUUUUCGGAUCGUAAAGCUCUGUUGUAAGAGAAGAACGUGUGUGAGAGUGGAAAGUUCACACAGUGACGGUAACUUACCAGAAAGGGACGGCUAACUACGUGCCAGCAUCCGCGGUAAUACGUAGGUCCCGAGCGUUGUCCGGAUUUAUUGGGCGUAAAGCGAGCGCAGGCGGUUUAAUAAGUCUGAAGUUAAAGGCAGUGGCUUAACCAUUGUUCGCUUUGGAAACUGUUAAACUUGAGUGCAGAAAGGGAGAGUGGAAUUCAAUGUGUAGCGGUGAAAUGCGUAGAUAUAUGGAGGAACACCGGUGGCGAAAGCGGCUCUCUGGUCUGUAACUGACGCUGAGGCUCGAAAGCGUGGGGAGCAAACAGG
RNAcentral lists this ribosomal RNA (429 nucleotides) under bacterium. RNAcentral describes it as "partial 16S ribosomal RNA". It matches the Rfam family "Bacterial small subunit ribosomal RNA", at positions 355 to 776 of the family's 1533-position model. The record is from RNAcentral.